Molecule: long non-coding RNA, 152 nt
Organism: Oxyura jamaicensis (ruddy duck)
Lineage: Eukaryota; Metazoa; Chordata; Aves; Anseriformes; Anatidae
Exons: 3
Source: RefSeq, a predicted model, not a curated record
UGAUACUCACUACAUCCCAUGCCCUUUAAAUCCAGACCUCUCUUCUCCCAUCCUGCCACUGACUUGGUCCCAAUUAUUUGAAGAUUUAUUUUGAAGUGACACCUGGCAAAACUUAACACACAGCAACUCUGCUAAGAUGCUUCUUGAUACAA